ACAGCAGUAGCCGCGGUAAUACGUAGGGUGCGAGCGUUAAUCGGAAUUACUGGGCGUAAAGCGUGCGCAGGCGGUUAUAUAAGACAGAUGUGAAAUCCCCGGGCUCAACCUGGGACCUGCAUUUGUGACUGUAUAGCUAGAGUACGGUAGAGGGGGAUGGAAUUCCGCGUGUAGCAGUGAAAUGCGUAGAUAUGCGGAGGAACACCGAUGGCGAAGGCAAUCCCCUGGACCUGUACUGACGCUCAUGCACGAAAGCGUGGGGAGCAAACAGGAUUAGAUACCCCGGUAGUCCCUGUCUCUUAUAA
Molecule: ribosomal RNA, 305 nt
Filed under: uncultured bacterium
Lineage: Bacteria
Description: partial 16S ribosomal RNA
Rfam family: Bacterial small subunit ribosomal RNA
Source: RNAcentral